AGAGUAGGUUGAAUGGUCGCACUUUUAUUAAAAAAGUGAGGAAAGUCCGGGCUUCAUAGAGCAGGGUGCCAGUUAACGGCUGGUGGAGGCGACUCUAAGGAAAGUGCAACAGAGAUAAACCGCCUAUAUAUCAUAUGGGUAAGGGUGGAAAGGUAAGGUAAGAGCUUACCGCUUUGCUGGUAACAGCUAAGGCUAUGUAAACCCCACUUGAAGCAAGGCGAAAGGAACAAAUAAAGGAUGGCUCGUUCUGUUCCGCAAAAAAGCCGCAUGAUGAUACUGGUGACAGUAUACCAAGAUAGAUGACCAUUCACGACAGAACCCGGCUUAUAGACUUGCUCAAUAU
This 343-nucleotide RNase P RNA is filed under the name Bacillota bacterium. RNAcentral's name for it is "RNase P RNA component class A". It matches the Rfam family "Bacterial RNase P class A". From Rfam's summary of the family: Ribonuclease P (RNase P) is a ubiquitous endoribonuclease, found in archaea, bacteria and eukarya as well as chloroplasts and mitochondria. Its best characterised activity is the generation of mature 5'-ends of tRNAs by cleaving the 5'-leader elements of precursor-tRNAs. Lineage: Bacteria; Bacillati; Bacillota. The record is from RNAcentral.